Molecule: transfer RNA, 69 nt
Filed under: Helogenes marmoratus
Lineage: Eukaryota; Metazoa; Chordata; Actinopteri; Siluriformes; Cetopsidae
Description: tRNA-Trp
Rfam family: tRNA
About the family: Transfer RNA (tRNA) molecules are approximately 80 nucleotides in length. Their secondary structure includes four short double-helical elements and three loops (D, anti-codon, and T loops).
Source: RNAcentral
AGAGACUUAGGCUAAACAGACCAAAAGCCUUCAAAGCUUUAAGUAGAGGUGAAAACCCCCUAGUCCCUG